This 778-nucleotide small RNA is filed under the name Pan troglodytes (chimpanzee). Its description in RNAcentral is "processed transcript". Lineage: Eukaryota; Metazoa; Chordata; Mammalia; Primates; Hominidae. The record is from RNAcentral.
GUAUCUACUGAGCGUUUCAGUCAACAAUACGGCUCGUGUUCGACAAUAUUCCUUGAUGACAGCACAGCCAGCCAGCAUUAUCUUACAAUGACAAUAAUAUCGCACUGAGAAGCCUUUUAGGAAAAUCGGGAUGGAUGUGAGGCAUCUUUCUGUGAAGAAAAGCAUCCCAGAAGAUUCUGAUUUUCACCCCAGCUCAAUCAUUCCAAAUUUUGCUGCUGAUUGAAAUCACCUGGGAAACGUUUACCAAGAACCUUGAUGCCCAAAGCCAUACCCAAUACUAAUUAAAUUAAAAUGUCUCAUGUUGAAGAUGAGGCAGAUAUUAAAGCUUCUCAGGCGAUUUUAAUGUGCAGCAAAGUUUGAGAGCCACUGCUUAGUUUGAGUUUAGGACAAGAAACUGCUCCUAUUUGGUGGGACCUUGGGCAAGUCAGUUUUAAGUGUGACCUUGGAGAUACCUCAUCAUAUCACACAAAGAGAUGCAGAUAGAUCUUUGAGGACACUUGAUGAACAGUUACACUCAUUUGCGUUCAUGCCGUGGAGGAAGUGGUGAAGGAGGUGGUGGGACAUGCCAAGGAGACUGGAGAGAAAGCCAUUGCUGAAGCCAUAAAGAAAGCCCAAGAGUCAGGGGACAAAAAGAUGAAGGAAAUCACCGAGACAGUGACCAACACAGUCACAAAUGCCAUCACCCAUGCAGCAGAAAGUCUGGACAAACUUGGACAGUGAGUGCACCUGCUACCACGGCCCUUCCCCAGUCUCAAUAAAAAGCCAUGACAUGUGUACA